This is a non-coding RNA of Podarcis lilfordi (Lilford's wall lizard), 70 nucleotides long. NCBI's taxonomy places the organism in Eukaryota, Metazoa, Chordata, Lepidosauria, Squamata, Lacertidae. The record is from the annotation of a GenBank genome assembly.
GCCGUAGGUCAGUGGCAGAACAUCUGCCUUGCAUGUAGAAGAUCCCAGGUUCAGUCCCUGACCAUUACCA